This 465-nucleotide ribosomal RNA is filed under the name uncultured bacterium. Its description in RNAcentral is "bacterial SSU rRNA". It matches the Rfam family "Bacterial small subunit ribosomal RNA", at positions 338 to 795 of the family's 1533-position model. The record is from RNAcentral.
CCUACGGGAGGCAGCAGUAGGGAAUCUUCCGCAAUGGACGAAAGUCUGACGGAGCAACGCCGCGUGAGCGAAGAAGGUCUUCGGAUCGUAAAGCUCUGUUGUUAGGGAAGAACAAGUAUCGGAGGAAAUGCCGGUACCUUGACGGUACCUGACGAGAAAGCCACGGCUAACUACGUGCCAGCAGCCGCGGUAAUACGUAGGUUGCAAACGUUGUCCGGAUUUAUUGGGCGUAAAGCGCGCGCAGGCGGUCCUUUAAGUCUGAUGUGAAAUCUUGCGGCUCACCCGCAAGCGGUCAUUGGAAACUGGGGGUGGUGAGUGCAGAAGAGGUAAGCGGAAUUCCACGUGUAGCGGUAAAAUGCGUAGAGAUGUGGAGGAACACCGGUGGCGAAGGCGGCUUGCUGGUCUGUAACUGACGCUGAGGCGCGACAGCGUGGGGAGAAAACGGGACUAGAUACCCUAGUAGUC